CCAAGCCUGGCUUUGCAGGAAAGCACAGCCUGGAAGAGUAGUGGUGUUAGCCCUAAGAAGAGAAGAGAAGAAAACAAAUGUAGGCUCCUCCUCUGCCUUGGCUAAACCUUUCAUCCUCCCCAGGGACAGUGGCAGCCCAGAAGUGUCGACAGGAGCGGGAAGAAGGUGCCAGUCCUUUGGCCCCAGGUGACCAAAGUACAGAAAGUAGAGGAAGAAAGUCUGCCUCCUUUAAUGCCACUCUCCUUUCUCCCCUCCAAUCCCCAGUAAAGUCUCGGGGCAACCUCUGCACACGGACCCCUCCAAGUGUCGUCAUCCACCCUGGAUCAUCAGACAGGCGCAGACACCGCCUGGGUCCUCCUCAGUCCACCUGGGGUGGGUACGCAGCCCUCCCUGCUGCCUCCUCCUUCUCUCCCGCGCUGAGGAGGGACUGCCACCCGCGGAGUCAGAGGCGGAGCAGAGGCUGGAGGUGCCCCGGCGCGAGAAGAGAGUAAACCUUUGGCAGGCAAGGGGUGUGGGUCCCACCGGGAGUCUUGGCCGCUCAUCUGGGCCCAGCCCGGCCCCCUGAGAUGGGUUCCGUCUCCUCAGCGCUGGCGCGGUCCCGGUCCCGCAACGCUGUGGUGCAGUUGGGCUCGUCGCCGCCACCCCAGCCCGAGGCGCCUCCGGCUGACCCCGCUGCUCGCGAAGACCGUUUCGCGCUGCACAAGACCGGGAGGCUUGGACCCGGGCGUGGAGAGGCGGCCACCCGGCCGGCAGCCUGGGAGGCUCAGCGGGUAGCGCCAAGCCCCGAGGGGCGCGCGAAGUUGGCGAGUCCGGAGCUGUCCCCGGUGCUGAACAGUGACGAGAGUAUGCCUCAGUCUCAGCUGUCUCGAAGCCCCAGCGCUGCGGGUUUUCCCAGAUUACUACAAUAGACUUGAAAAAAAAUGUUUAUUAUGGAAAAAUUCAAACUUCAAACAUACUAAAAAAUAAAGAGAAUAUUAUAUUGAACGCUCAUGUACCUGACAUAAAACUGCAUCAAUUGUAAACUUUUUGCCAUUCUUCUCCUUCAUUUUUUUCUGGACUCAUAGAAUGUCCGUGUGUAUCUCUAAUAAAUAAGCAAUUUGUGUCCCCCACAGCUUUUUCAUUAUUCUUUCUCUAAUAUCAUUUUUCUCACCAAUCCAAAAAUUUC
This 1165-nucleotide long non-coding RNA is filed under the name Bos grunniens (domestic yak). RNAcentral describes it as "lncRNA (ENSBGRG00000005003.1)". Lineage: Eukaryota; Metazoa; Chordata; Mammalia; Artiodactyla; Bovidae. The record is from RNAcentral.